GACGAACGCUGGCGGCGUGCUUAACACAUGCAAGUCGAACGAAGUGGCGAACGGGUGAGUAAUACGUGGGUAACCUGCCCUCCUUUUUGGGAUAAGCCUUGGAAACGGGGUCUAAUACCGAAUAAAGGGGGAUGGGCUCGCGGGCUAUCGGCUUGUUGGUUGGGUGAUGGCCUACCAAGGCGGUGACGGGUAGCCGGCCUGAGAGGGUGACCGGCGACAUUUGGACUGAGAUACGGCCCAGACUCCGACGUGAGGCAGCAGUGGGGAAUUUUGGACAAUGGGGGAAACCCUGAGCCAGCCAUCCCGCUUGUAUGAUGAAGGCCUUCGGGUUGUAAAGUACUUUUGGCAGAGAAGCGUUACCGACAGAAGAAGCACCGGCGAACUCCGUGCCAGCAGCCGCGGUAAUAC
RNAcentral lists this ribosomal RNA (408 nucleotides) under uncultured bacterium. Its description in RNAcentral is "partial 16S ribosomal RNA". It matches the Rfam family "Bacterial small subunit ribosomal RNA", at positions 28 to 526 of the family's 1533-position model. The record is from RNAcentral.